UACAGAGGGUGCAAGCGUUGUUCGGAAUUAUUGGGCGUAAAGCGCGUGUAGGCGGCCCGGUAAGUCCGCUGUGAAAGUCGGGGGCUCAACCCUCGAAUGCCGGUGGAUACUGUCGGGCUAGAGUGCGGGAGAGGCGAGUGGAAUUCCUGGUGUAGCGGUGAAAUGCGCAGAUAUCAGGAGGAACACCAAUUGCGAAGGCAGCUCGCUGGAACGUAACUGACGCUGAGACGCGAAAGCGUGGGGAGCAAACAGG
Molecule: ribosomal RNA, 253 nt
Filed under: uncultured bacterium
Lineage: Bacteria
Description: partial 16S ribosomal RNA
Rfam family: Bacterial small subunit ribosomal RNA
Source: RNAcentral